Long non-coding RNA from Brachypodium distachyon (stiff brome), 5141 nucleotides. RefSeq lists it as uncharacterized. The record is from RefSeq and is a predicted model, not a curated record. The transcript has 2 exons. Lineage: Eukaryota; Viridiplantae; Streptophyta; Magnoliopsida; Poales; Poaceae.
GGAGGGGGGAGAGGAGAGAGUCUAGUUCUCCCGCGGAGGAAUUGCUUGCGAAAUUUUGAAUCUAGGGUUUGCAAAUUGUGAUCGGAGGGUAAUAAAACCCGGUUACCGACUUAGUUUCCUUUUUUUGAUCGGUGUCCGAGUUGAUCUCGAACUCGAGUUGCCAGCGAGCGCCAGUUUGGCGGUUCGUUAUUUUUGGAAAUUUUUGAAUCCGAGAGUUUUAUGGAACGGUCGGUCGAUUUCUUCUUACCGAAGCGUCUCUCUGUCUCUCCCCCCCGAUCCUCAAUCCCCAAUCUCCCCGUCUCUCCUAAUUCCCCAAACAUUCGAGAGUCCAAAAUCCAAAUCCCUACUACUUCUCCAAUCUCCCUUCCUUCCGUCGGCGGCGGCGAGGAGAUUGGGCGGCGGCGCUGGCGAUGCCGUCGGCGAGGAAAUUGGGGGGCGGCGCUGGCGGGGAUCGUCGACCUCCGCGGAACGGCGUCGGGGCGGUCCCGGAACCAGAGGUGGCGCAGCGCGGUCUCCGAUCGCUCCCCGCAGUGUUCCCAUGUUCCCCGCGCAGCCCCGCGACCUCCGCGCUGCCAUCGUGCAGACGGAUGGUUUGCUUCCGCACCCCCCCCACCUCCACUCCAGCAGGCUCUUCGCAAGAUCGAUGUUCUGCAUUUGUGAUUUGGGAGAUUUCGGUUAGGGUUCUUGCCUCCGCCAGUCCUGCCAUGCGGGAGGCCCAUAGAUGGCAAUUCAGUUAGCGCUUGGUGUGUUAGGAUGCGAUUUUUCGUGCUUGUCAGUGUCGUAUAUGAGUAAUUGGCAAUUGCGAGUUGCAUUCCGUUGAAUUGGUUAGGAUCGCCGGCGUCAUCCACUCCAGAGGAGGAGGGUAGAAUCAACGUGGUAGGAAUGAGAAAUGGGGAGGAUGAAGAUGGUAGAGGGUGUCAGGACUUUAGAGGUUCAGAGUUGAAUGUUCUGGUCUUUAUUUGGUGAUUGUGGGCUAGUUUUUAAACAACUGAUCUUAUUUGUAUAAUUCAAUGUGAUAAUGUUGACUGAUCAAAAAUCAAAAUGGUCAUGAACCAAGGGAGUGCCAAAAUCUGCAAAAUCUGCCUAUCGAAGGAAAUUUCAUGCUUCAGAGAAUCAAAACCUACAAUGUAAUUCUAUAUGCAUCAUUCAAACAGCAUUUUUCUGCAUAUGCCAUGUCAGAACUAUUUAUGGGUCUACAAAAUACUACUGCCAUCAAACCAUCUUGAUGCAUUAUUUUGUUCUUAAGGUUGGUAUUUUAGUGUUUCCGGUGCAUGUUCAGACAUUUCUAGAGCAAAAACUCUGGGGCUUCAGAGAGUGGACGAUUUAACUCAUUCUGAUAUAGCGUUGGUUCAUUCAUCUUUAUGCAGUCAUGAGUCAUGCAAAUUCAAUCUAAUAUCUGCUUAUGAAAAAAAUUUCUUAGGCAUGAGUCAUUUACAGGUAGUCAAUGGAGAAUCUUUUCUCCUUUUGCCUUAUGCUAUUUAUAUUUAAACUCCACCUGGGGUUUCUGGGCAGUUCCAUGGUGUACUUUGUUAUGUUGUGGUACAGCACUUUCCGUAGUUGUAAGGAACUUUUUGAUGCAAGUCUUUCCGUUGAUACAAAUUAUUGUUGUAUAAACCUUAAACACUAGGACUUGGCACUGUUAUAUUUUCUUUUGGUAUCAAUACACUGCUCCAGUUCCUUACCUCUCAGGAGCGUUUUGACUAUGUACAUUCACUGUGUAACUGGUAAGAUACUGAACCCGAUAUAGUGGUAUUAGGUUCUGGGGCGGAGCCAGGAUUUAGGAACAGUGGGGGCGAGACUGUGACACAAUCAUAAUUUUUUUUGGCAUCGAUGCAAGCUAAUAAAGAUAGUGUUGAAAAUACUAAUAAGAUUUUGUAAUUGAUUAUGAGAAAUGGGGAGGAUGAAGAUGGUAGAGGGUGUCAAGACCUUAGAGGUUCAGAGUUCUGGCCUUUGUAAUUGAUUAAUAUACUUGUCUUUUCUAUGGAUAUUAGUGAUUGUUUCUAGUACUUAGUUGUGUUGCUUGUUUUGAUGAAAACCUAAUUGAAAGCAGAAUAUGGCAGGUACAAUUAAUGAGUAACAAAAUCAAUGCAUCUGUGCAACUAACAAUAGCUUAUGUAGGGAUUUCAGUGGAUAGUGAUUGACGGGAAGGAAUUAUUCAUCUCUUUCUGUUUACUACUACAGUAUUGAAGGUGCUUAAUUUUGUAAUCAUGUUUUUGCGUGUUCUGCGUGAUUGACGCUCCCAGGCAAGAGAAUUGCAACAGAAUUAAUUUGGUGAUUGCGCGCUGUUUUUAUACCAUCUGAACUUAUUUAUAGAACCCUGCAGGUUUGAAUACCAAGAAUUAAUUUGAUAAUAUUGACUGAGCAAAAAUCAAAAUGGUCAAUAAGUCAAGGGAGUGCCAAAAACUGCCUAUCGAAGGAAACUUUUCUCGACAACAUUUGGUGCAGAGAAUCAAGUUCUACACUUUAAGUCUAUAUGCAUCAGUGAAACAGCAUUUUUCUGCACAUGCCAUCUCAGAACUACUUAUGGGAUCUACAAAAUAUUACGGCCAUCAAACCAUCUUAAUUUGUGCAUUAUUUUGUUCUAAAGGCUGGCAUUUUUGUGUUUCUGGUGCAUAUUGAGGCUUUCCAGAGCAAAAACUCUGGAAGCUUCAGAGAGUGGACGUGUUUACUAAUUCUGAUAUAGCAGUAGUCGAGUAAUCUUCAUGCAGUCAUGAGUCAUACUAUCCACUUCUGGGAAAAAAAAAUUCUAGGCAUGAGUCAUUUACAGGUAGUCCUGGGAGCAUCUAUUCUCUUUUUGCCUUUUGCAGUCCAUAAUUGGACUCCAUCUGAGGGUGCUCGACAGAUCCAUGGUACAACUUUGGAUGGGUAACAACAUUUUCCCUAUUUGUAAGGAAGUUUUGAUGCAAGUCUUUCUCUUGAUAAGUAUUAUUUUUGUAUAAAUCUAAAACACUAGUAUUCCCUCCGUCCGGAAAUAAGUGAUGUGGAUUUGUAUAAGAAUCUAUGCAAAUCCAAGUCACUUAUUUCCAGACGGAGACUAUGCACUGUUAUAUUUUCUUUUAGUAUCAAUACACUGCUCAGCUCCCAGCUUCUCAGGAGCAUUUGGCUAUGUACAUUCAUUCACUGCGAUAACUUGUAAGAUACUAAAUCAGGUAUAGUGUUAUUAGGUUCAGGGAAGAGACAGGAUUUAGGCAUAGACGGCGCGAGACUGACACAAUUAGAUAUAUAUUUUAUUUUUUUGGCUUUGAGGCAAGCUAUUGAAGAUAGUGUUCAAAAGACUAAACAUGGACUAUCUUCAAUAGUGUUCAAAAUACUACAACUCAUACUCUAAAGACUAAUGUAGAUAUAUUGACAUAACUGUGAGACUAUUGCAUACUUCUAUUGAAUUUAGGUGCGAGUUUAUUAUAUCAUCCAUUAUUGCUAUUAGCCUUCUGCCAUCUAACUUAAAGUUUCAAAUGUAAGGACCACAGGUUCUAACUUAAUUGGUGAUUACUUGCUUUUGGUCCUACUUAUAGAACCCUGCAGGUUUGGAUACCAAGAAUUCAAUGUGAUAAUAUUGACUGGUCCAAAAUCAAAAUGGCCAGUAAAUCAAGGGAGUGCCAAAAAAUUGCCUAUUGAAGGAAAUUGUUCUCUAUGAUAUUUGAUUAUUCAGAGAAUCAAGUCCUAAGUGUACGUGCAUCAUCCAAAAAGCAUUUCUCUGCAUAUGCUAUCUCACACCUACUGCUAAUAGGAUGUACAAAAUAAAUAUUACUGCCAUGAAACCAUCUUUAUGCAUUAUUUUGCCUUGAAGGCUGGUAUUUUUGUGUUUCUGGUGCAUGUUCAGACAUUUCUAGAGCAAAAACUCUGGGGCGCUUCAGAGAGUGGACGAUUUAACUCAAUUUUUUAUGCAAAUUCUUAUAUAGCAGUUGUUGAGGAUCUUGGACACAUCUUCAAAAGAUAUCCUCAUUGUCACCUUGCUCUUACUUUCGCAAUUACAAAGGCCAACCUUUGAACUCUGGAUUUGUACCUAUGUGAAGGACCAGUAUUGGCAUCUCUAAGUAAGUUAAUGUCUAUGGAUUAGAUCUUAGUAUGAAAAGCUGGCACAAAUUGAGUAACCCCUUCCUUUCCUUUUAAGACUACAGAAUUCUUGAAGGAAUUACUUGAAGCGUACAACUUAAAAUAAAUGAAGGUUUCCUGCAUGCUUAGCGAUGAAUUAGAACUGGCUUGGGUUAUGAAGUCUUAUCUACUAUCUGCUUAUCGAAACAAUUUCUAGGCAUGAGUGGUUUACAGGUGAAGUCAAUAGAGCAUCUAAUCUCUUUUUGCCUUGUGCUGGACAGUUUCAUGGUAUGCCUCUGGAUGUUAAGGUACAGUAAUUUCCCUAGUUGUACGGAACUUUUUGGUGCAAGUCUUUCUCUUGAUAUAAAUUAUUGCUGUUUAGACUAUAGACACUAGUACUUUGCACUUUUAUUUUUUCGUUUGGUGUCAAUGAACUGUUCUUACACCGUUGCCACUUGGCCAGUGUUACACAUGCUGAUUCUACAAGCUCCCAGCCUCUCAGGAACAUUUUGAUCAUUUACAUUCACUGUGAUAACUGAGAAGGUACUAAAUCUGAUAUAAUGUUAUUAGGUUGCCCAUUUCGAAGGUUCAAGAGAGAGUUUUUGAUGCUUGAGGCAUGGAAUUUCUGCAACGCAGCCUCUCAGUUAUCCGGCACGUGAGGAGGAAGAAAGGGGGGAUAAUUGAGGAGUAGCUUGAUUGGGAUGCUGACGCCCUGACACAUUGUCGAAGGAGGAAGAACUGAGGAGGAAGAAAUGCUGGAGAGGGGCGGAUGAGAAAGAAAUAGCUGUACCCUCCUGAAUGUGCCAAGCGCUCAGGCGAACGGCCCAAGCGUCUUCUCUAGGAUCAGCGGAGAUCUCUGUAUGCCAACAGUUUUACAGGUUGUUCAGGCUUCUGCACGUUGCAGCGGGAAUUAGUUAGCUCGUGUUAUAGUUGGAGAAGUUGUAAGGACUAAUGAGAGUACAUGUAGAACACACUUGUACGGUCUGGGCAUGGAAUGUGGUGCAUAUAACCACAUUUAUUGUCAUGCCAGAAACAAAACUGUGUUGGGAGGUCUUCACUCUCGCUGCUUGGGGGCUUUGGAAAGUGAGAAACGCUAAGCUAUUUGAUAA